RNAcentral lists this ribosomal RNA (703 nucleotides) under Halichoeres brownfieldi (Brownfields wrasse). RNAcentral's name for it is "partial 12S ribosomal RNA". The stretch from base 1 to 471 matches the Rfam family "Bacterial small subunit ribosomal RNA", at positions 866 to 1533 of the family's 1533-position model. Lineage: Eukaryota; Metazoa; Chordata; Actinopteri; Labriformes; Labridae. The record is from RNAcentral.
UAUCCGCCUGGGAACUACGAGCGUCAGCUUAAAACCCAAAGGACUUGGCGGUGCUUUAGAUCCACCUAGAGGAGCCUGUUCUAGAACCGAUAAUCCCCGUUAAACCUCACCUUUCCUUGUCUUAUCCGCCUAUAUACCGCCGUCGUCAGCUUACUCUGUGAAGAACCCGUAGUAGGCACAAUCGGCACAGCCCAAAACGCCAGGUCGAGGUGUAGCGAAUGGAAAGGGAAGAAAUGGGCUACAUUCAAUAUAAUGAAUACGGAUGACAUCCUGAAACGGAUGUCUGAAGGAGGAUUUAGCAGUAAGCAGGGAAUAGAGUGCCCUGCUGAAAUUGGCCCUGAAGCGCGCACACACCGCCCGUCACUCUCCCCGAGCUAACGAAAGCACAUAAUUAAUAAACCAGACCUGCAAAGGGGAGGCAAGUCGUAACAUGGUAAGUGUACCGGAAGGUGCACUUGAGAAAAUUCGAGGCAUAGCUUAACAGCAAAGCGUCUCCUUUACACCGAGAAAACGCUCGUGCAAAUCGGGCUACCUUGAGGCCUAAUAGCUAGCCCCCAACCAUUUAAAUUCAAUUAAACCCCGUAAAUAAACCCACACACACUAAAUACACAAAACAAACCAUUUUUCCCUCUGAGUAUAGGAGAUAGAAAAGAAGCUCGGCGCAAUAGAAAAAGUACCGCAAGGGAAAGCUGAAAGAGAAAUG